RNAcentral lists this ribosomal RNA (491 nucleotides) under uncultured bacterium. RNAcentral describes it as "partial 16S ribosomal RNA". It matches the Rfam family "Bacterial small subunit ribosomal RNA", at positions 28 to 506 of the family's 1533-position model. The record is from RNAcentral.
GAUGAACGCUCGCUCCAGGCUUAACACAUGCAAGUCGAGGGGAAACGACAUCGAAAGCUUGCUUUUGAUGGGCGUCGACCGGCGCACGGGUGAGUAACGCGUAUCCAACCUGCCCAUCACUUGGGAAUAACCUUGCGAAAGUAAGACUAAUACCCAAUGACAUCCCACGAAGACAUCUGAAUGGGAUUAAAGAUUUAUCGGUGAUGGAUGGGGAUGCGUCUGAUUAGCUUGUUGGCGGGGUAACGGCCCACCAAGGCAACGAUCAGUAGGGGUUCUGAGAGGAAGGUCCCCCACAUUGGAACUGAGACACGGUCCAAACUCCUACGGGAGGCAGCAGUGAGGAAUAUUGGUCAAUGGGCGAGAGCCUGAACCAGCCAAGUAGCGUGCAGGAUGACGGCCCUAUGGGUUGUAAACUGCUUUUAUAAGGGAAUAAAGUGGGUCUCGUGAGACUUUUUGCAUGUACCUUAUGAAUAAGGACCGGCUAAUUCCGU